GAUGAACGCUAGCGGCAGGCUUAAUACAUGCAAGUCGUGGGGCAGCAGGUUUGUAGCAAUACAGAUGCUGGCGACCGGCAAACGGGUGCGGAACACGUACAGAACCUUCCUGUGAGCGGGGAAUAGCCCAGAGAAAUUUGGAUUAAUACCCCAUAGUAUAAUGAAGUGGCAUCACUUUAUUAUUAAAGAUUUAUCACUCGAAGAUGGCUGUGCGGCUGAUUAGGUAGUUGGCGGGGUAAAGGCCCACCAAGCCUGCGAUCAGUAACUGGUGUGAGAGCACGACCAGUCACACGGGCACUGAGACACGGGCCCGACUCCUACGGGAGGCAGCAGUAAGGAAUAUUGGUCAAUGGAGGCAACUCUGAACCAGCCAUGCCGCGUGGAGGAUGAAGGUCCUCUGGAUUGUAAACUUCUUUAUAUGGGACGAAAAAAGGCUUUUCUAAGUCGUCUGACGGUACCAUAUGAAUAAGCACCGGCUAACUCCGUGCCAGCAGCCGCG
RNAcentral lists this ribosomal RNA (499 nucleotides) under uncultured bacterium. RNAcentral's name for it is "bacterial SSU rRNA". It matches the Rfam family "Bacterial small subunit ribosomal RNA", at positions 28 to 519 of the family's 1533-position model. The record is from RNAcentral.